RNAcentral lists this ribosomal RNA (443 nucleotides) under Iphinoe serrata. RNAcentral describes it as "partial large subunit ribosomal RNA". The record is from RNAcentral. Lineage: Eukaryota; Metazoa; Arthropoda; Malacostraca; Cumacea; Bodotriidae.
GCGGCUGCACCAUCACGGGGCCUUAAUUCAACAUCGAGGUCGUAAUCCUUCUUUUUAAUUUGGGCUUGAAAAAAGAUUACGCUGUUACCCCUAAAGUAAUUUGAUUUUUAGCUCUUUUUAGGGUCUAUCUGAUCAAAGAAUAAGUUAUAAUUUAUUUGGGUUUUAUAUAUAAACCGUCCCAGUCAAACUUCAAACAAUAGUGAUAAUCGCUGAUGAAGAAGUAAAAUUUUUAGGGUCUUAUCGUCUUUUCUUUAAUUUAAGCAUUUUAACUUAAAAGUAAUUUGGAGUUUAAAGUGCGAUAAUUAUUACUACGUCAGACCUUUCAUUCUGGUUCUUAAUUAGAGAACAAAAUAUUAUGCUACCUUAGUACAGUUUUAACACUGCAGCUCUUUAAUAAAUUCAGUGUGCAGGUAGGACCUCUUAUAGGGCUAGAGGCCAUGUUU